CAUGUUUGUUUGGAGUUAUAAAGAAUUUAACCUGCCCCCUGAUUAACUAUUAAUUAAAGGGCCGCAGUAUUAUAACUGUGCAAAGGUAGCAUAAUCAUUAGGUUUUUAAUUGAAAUCUCGUAUGAAUGGUUGGACAAAAGAAAGACUCUCUUUAUAUUAAGUUUUGAAUUUAACUUUUAAGUGAAAAGGCUUAAAUAUUCUAAAGGGACGAUAAGACCCUAUAAAACUUUACAUUGUUAUUAAUUUUGAUUGAAUUUAUGAAAUAAAAAUUUUAUUUGAUUAUUUGUUAUGUUGGGGAGACAUAAGUAAAAUAUUUUUUUAACUGCUUGAUAGUUAUACAAUUAUUAGUGAAUAAGUAGAAGAUCCUUUUUAAGAUUAGUAGAUUAAGUUACUUUAGGGAUAACAGUGUAAUUUCUUUUGAGAGUUCUUAUCGAAAAAGAAGGUUGCAACCUCGAUGUUGAAUUAAAAUAUCUAUAUAAUGGAGAGGUUAUAUAAGAAGGUCUGUUCGACCUUGAAAAUUUUACAUGAUUUGAGUUCAAACCGGUGUGAGCCA
RNAcentral lists this ribosomal RNA (553 nucleotides) under Longpotamon nanlingense. Its description in RNAcentral is "partial large subunit ribosomal RNA". It matches the Rfam family "Bacterial large subunit ribosomal RNA", at positions 1830 to 2628 of the family's 2925-position model. Lineage: Eukaryota; Metazoa; Arthropoda; Malacostraca; Decapoda; Potamidae. The record is from RNAcentral.